GAUGAAACGCUGGCGGUCUGCUUAAACAACAAUGCAAGUCGAACGAAACUCUUCGGAGUGAGUGGCGGACGGGUGAGUAACGCGUGAGAAUCUGGCUCUGGGUCGGGGACAACCACUGGAAACGGUGGCUAAUACCGGAUGAGCCGAAAAGGUAAAAGAUUUAUUGCCCACAGAUGAGCUCGCGUCUGAUUAGCUAGUUGGUAAGGUAAAAGCGUACCAAGGCGACGAUCAGUAGCUGGUCUGAGAGGAUGAGCAGCCACACUGGGACUGAGACACGGCCCAGACUCCUACGGGAGGCAGCAGUGGGG
Molecule: ribosomal RNA, 308 nt
Filed under: uncultured cyanobacterium
Lineage: Bacteria; Bacillati; Cyanobacteriota
Description: bacterial SSU rRNA
Rfam family: Bacterial small subunit ribosomal RNA
Source: RNAcentral